GCACGCGCGCUACACUGACGAAGCCAGCGAGUACUGGCGUUAGCCUUCCUUAGCCGAAAGGUUCGGGUAAUCUUGUUAAACUUCGUCGUGCUGGGGAUAGUCCUUUGCAAUUAUCGGACUUGAACGAGGAAUUCCUAGUAAGCGCGAUUCAUCAGAUCGCGUUGAUUACGUCCCUGCCCUUUGUACACACCGCCCGUCGCUACUACCGAUUGAAUGGCUUAGUGAGGCCCUCGGAUUGGCGUAUUGCUGCCGGCAACGGCUGGCAUUAUGCCGAGAAGUUGGUCAAACUUGGUCAUUUAGAGGAAGUAAAAGUCGUAACAAGGUAUCCGUAGGUGAACCUGCGGAUGGAUCAUUAACGU
RNAcentral lists this ribosomal RNA (359 nucleotides) under Syncephalis floridana. RNAcentral's name for it is "bacterial SSU rRNA". It matches the Rfam family "Eukaryotic small subunit ribosomal RNA", at positions 1489 to 1831 of the family's 1831-position model. Lineage: Eukaryota; Fungi; Zoopagomycota; Zoopagomycetes; Zoopagales; Piptocephalidaceae. The record is from RNAcentral.